AGAUGUGAGGGUGAUCUGGCUGAGACAUCUGUCACCCCACUGAUCACCAGGGUUGAUUCAGCUGAUCUGGCUGGCUAGGUGGGUGUCCCCUUCCUCCCUCAACGAUCCAUGUGCAUCCCUCCCAAAGCUGCAUGCUCGAUCGAAGAGGAUAACCACCUCUGAUAGAGGAGGACCAUUCCUCAGUCAAGGGUAUACAAGUAGCUGCACUCCCCUGCUAGAACCUCCAAACAAGCCCUGAGAGAUUAAAAUUUAUUAGUUUUCUAUUAGUUUGCUCAGAUUUCAGAAUUUCAAUAGAAUGAGUUUUAGUGUGCAAAAGGUGGCUGUACUC
RNAcentral lists this small nuclear RNA (328 nucleotides) under Octodon degus (degu). Its description in RNAcentral is "7SK RNA (ENSODEG00000024373.1)". It matches the Rfam family "7SK RNA". From Rfam's summary of the family: 7SK was discovered as an abundant small nuclear RNA in the mid-70s but a possible function has only recently been suggested. Two independent studies have found that 7SK RNA binds the CDK9/cyclin T complex (known as elongation factor P-TEFb). P-TEFb activates transcription by phosphorylating the C-terminal domain of RNA polymerase II. Lineage: Eukaryota; Metazoa; Chordata; Mammalia; Rodentia; Octodontidae. The record is from RNAcentral.